RNAcentral lists this ribosomal RNA (593 nucleotides) under uncultured rumen bacterium. RNAcentral describes it as "bacterial SSU rRNA". It matches the Rfam family "Bacterial small subunit ribosomal RNA", at positions 49 to 641 of the family's 1533-position model. The record is from RNAcentral.
UAACACAUGCAAGUCGAACGAGAAUCACCGGAAGGAGUUUUCGGACAACGGAAGGUGAGGACAGUGGCGGACGGGUGAGUAACGCGUGAGGAACCUGCCUUUCAGAGGGGGACAACAGUUGGAAACGACUGCUAAUACCGCAUAACGCAUAGGUAUCGCAUGGUACUUAUGCCAAAGAUUUAUCGCUGAAAGAUGGCCUCGCGUCUGAUUAGCUGGUUGGUGAGGUAACGGCCCACCAAGGCGACGAUCAGUAGCCGGACUGAGAGGUUGACCGGCCACAUUGGGACUGAGAUACGGCCCAGACUCCUACGGGAGGCAGCAGUGGGGAAUAUUGGGCAAUGGGCGCAAGCCUGACCCAGCAACGCCGCGUGAAGGAAGAAGGCUUUCGGGUUGUAAACUUCUUUUGGCAGGGAAGAGGAGAAGACGGUACCUGCCGAAUAAGCCACGGCUAACUACGUGCCAGCAGCCGCGGUAAUACGUAGGUGGCAAGCGUUGUCCGGAUUUACUGGGUGUAAAGGGCGUGUAGCCGGGUUGGUAAGUCAGAUGUGAAAUGCACGGGCUUAACUCGUGAACUGCAUUUGAAACUGCUGAUC